Molecule: non-coding RNA, 202 nt
Filed under: Rhizobium sp.
Lineage: Bacteria; Pseudomonadati; Pseudomonadota; Alphaproteobacteria; Hyphomicrobiales; Rhizobiaceae
Source: RNAcentral
UCUUCUGGACAUGUUCAAGGUGCCAUCCGGAUAGAGUCCGGAUGGAUAAUUGGGAAACCGGUCAUAGGCCUGUGCUGCCCCCGCAACGGUAGCGGACCGAAAGUCUCGACCAAUGCCACUGGUCUCUUGACCGGGAAGGUGUCGAGGCCAUCCAGAGGGAUAGGUCCGAAGCCCGGAAACCAGCCUUGACGACAGACUCGAU